AAACCGUCCCCUAAGUUUUGUAACUGUAGCAAUUUUGGCCCCCCAAGACCAAUUUUUGGUAAAAAAAAAAAACACGUGGCACCUCAAUUAGGGUGCCAUGUCAGCGUAGACUGAGUCAAAUUUGGCCUUGGGGGGCCAAAACUGCCACAAAUGCAAAAUUUAGGGGCGGUUU
RNAcentral lists this microRNA precursor (172 nucleotides) under Medicago truncatula (barrel medic). RNAcentral's name for it is "MIR2619 microRNA precursor family". It matches the Rfam family "MIR2619 microRNA precursor family". The record is from Rfam by way of RNAcentral. Lineage: Eukaryota; Viridiplantae; Streptophyta; Magnoliopsida; Fabales; Fabaceae.